GGGCUCUGCGGCCUGUGGCUGCAGAGGGACGCAAGAGCAUAAACUGAAAUCCCACAUCCCCGUGGAGGAACUUGGAGAUAAGAUGCAAAGCGCAGCAAAUAGGAGCCACUCUUUCAGAGAUGACAGACCACCUGGUUUCGAGGAGCAGCAGACAGCGUGAAUGAAUGAAGUUGGCCAGUUCUGUGUGUUGACUGGAAUCACCUGGGAAGUUUUAGUCCUGUGAUACCACCUGGAACCACAGACAGAGUGAGGACACAGCAAGAAGAUGAUCAUCUGCAAGCCAAGAAGAGGGGUCUCACCAGAAUCCUAUAAUGCUGGCACCCUGAUAUUUUACUUUCCACCUUCCAUAAAUGUGAGAAAUAAAU
This 365-nucleotide long non-coding RNA is filed under the name Homo sapiens (human). Its description in RNAcentral is "HSALNT0337627". The record is from RNAcentral. Lineage: Eukaryota; Metazoa; Chordata; Mammalia; Primates; Hominidae.